AGGCCCUUCGGGGUACUCGAGUGGCGAACGGGUGAGUAACACGUGGGUGAUCUGCCCUGCACUUUGGGAUAAGCCUGGGAAACUGGGUCUAAUACCGAAUAGGACUACGGCCUGCAUGGGUUGUGGUGGAAAGCUUUUGCGGUGUGGGAUGGGCCCGCGGCCUAUCAGCUUGUUGGUGAGGUUACGGCUCACCAAGGCGACGACGGGUAGCCGGCCUGAGAGGGUGACCGGCCACACUGGGACUGAGAUACGGCCCAGACUCCUACGGGAGGCAGCAGUGGGGAAUAUUGCACAAUGGGCGCAAGCCUGAUGCAGCGACGCCGCGUGAGGGAUGACGGCCUUCGGGUUGUAAACCUCUUUCGCCAGGGACGAAGCGCAAGUGACGGUACCUGGAGAAGAAGGACCGGCCAACUACGUGCCAGCAGCCGCGGUAAUACGUAGGGUCCGAGCGUUGUCCGGAAUUACUGGGCGUAAAGAGCUCGUAGGUGGUUUGUCGCGUUGUUCGUGAAAACUCACAGCUUAACUGUGGGCGUGCGGGCGAUACGGGCAGACUGGAGUACUGCAGGGGAGACUGGAAUUCCUGGUGUAGCGGUGGAAUGCGCAGAUAUCAGGAGGAACACCGGUGGCGAAGGCGGGUCUCUGGGCAGUAACUGACGCUGAGGAGCGAAAGCGUGGGGAGCGAACAGGAUUAGAUACCCUGGUAGUCCACGCCGUAAACGGUGGGUACUAGGUGUGGGUUUCCUUCCUUGGGAUCCGUGCCGUAGCUAACGCAUUAAGUACCCCGCCUGGGGAGUACGGCCGCAAGGCUAAAACUCAAAGAAAUUGACGGGGGCCCGCACAAGCGGCGGAGCAUGUGGAUUAAUUCGAUGCAACGCGAAGAACCUUACCUGGGUUUGACAUGCACAGGACGUGCCUAGAGAUAGGUAUUCCCUUGUGGCCUGUGUGCAGGUGGUGCAUGGCUGUCGUCAGCUCGUGUCGUGAGAUGUUGGGUUAAGUCCCGCAACGAGCGCAACCCUUGUCUCAUGUUGCCAGCACGUAAUGGUGGGGACUCGUGAGAGACUGCCGGGGUCAACUCGGAGGAAGGUGGGGAUGACGUCAAGUCAUCAUGCCCCUUAUGUCCAGGGCUUCACACAUGCUACAAUGGCCGGUACAAAGGGCUGCGAUGCCGCGAGGUGGAGCGAAUCCUUUUAAAGCCGGUCUCAGUUCGGAUCGGGGUCUGCAACUCGACCCCGUGAAGUCGGAGUCGCUAGUAAUCGCAGAUCAGCAACGCUGCGGUGAAUACGUUCCCGGGCCUUGUACACACCGCCCGUCACGUCAUGAAAGUCGGUAACACCCGAAGCCGGUGGCCUAAC
RNAcentral lists this ribosomal RNA (1352 nucleotides) under Mycobacterium sp. cpRA418. RNAcentral describes it as "bacterial SSU rRNA". It matches the Rfam family "Bacterial small subunit ribosomal RNA", at positions 72 to 1439 of the family's 1533-position model. Lineage: Bacteria; Bacillati; Actinomycetota; Actinomycetes; Mycobacteriales; Mycobacteriaceae. The record is from RNAcentral.